This 411-nucleotide ribosomal RNA is filed under the name uncultured bacterium. RNAcentral's name for it is "bacterial SSU rRNA". It matches the Rfam family "Bacterial small subunit ribosomal RNA", at positions 505 to 918 of the family's 1533-position model. The record is from RNAcentral.
GUGUCAGCCGCCGCGGUAAUACGGAGGAUCCAAGCGUUAUCCGGAAUCAUUGGGUUUAAAGGGUCCGUAGGUGGAUAAUUAAGUCAGAGGUGAAAUCCUGCAGCUUAACUGUAGAAUUGCCUUUGAUACUGGUUGUCUUGAGUUAUUAUGAAGUGGUUAGAAUAUGUAGUGUAGCGGUGAAAUGCAUAGAUAUUACAUAGAAUACCAAUUGCGAAGGCAGAUCACUAAUAAUAUACUGACACUGAUGGACGAAAGCGUGGGGAGCGAACAGGAUUAGAUACCCUGGUAGUCCACGCCGUAAACGAUGGUCACUAGCUGUUCGGGUUUCGAUCUGAGUGGCUAAGCGAAAGUGAUAAGUGACCCACCUGGGGAGUACGUUCGCAAGAAUGAAACUUAAAUGAAUUGGCGGGG